UUUCCGUAGGUGAACCUGCGGAAGGAUCAUUACAAAGUUCAUACCCGAACGGAUACAACUCCCACCCUUUUGUAUUAUUACUUUUUUGCUUUGGCUAUCGCAAGCUCUCCAGAGAAUACCAAAACUCUUUUUAUUAAUGUAGUCUGAAUACUAUAUUAUAUUUAAAACUUUCAACAACAAAUCUCUUGUUUCUGUCAUCGAUGAAUAACGCAGCAGAUCUAAAGAUCACACUUCUUUACUCCAUUCACUCAUAUUCAUCUCUUAUUCCGUCUUCUGUUU
This 279-nucleotide unclassified non-coding RNA is filed under the name plant metagenome. RNAcentral describes it as "partial contains small subunit ribosomal RNA, internal transcribed spacer 1, and 5.8S ribosomal RNA". The record is from RNAcentral.